RNAcentral lists this ribosomal RNA (274 nucleotides) under uncultured bacterium. Its description in RNAcentral is "partial 16S ribosomal RNA". It matches the Rfam family "Bacterial small subunit ribosomal RNA", at positions 523 to 796 of the family's 1533-position model. The record is from RNAcentral.
AUACGGAGGGUGCAAGCGUUAUUCGGAAUCACUGGGCGUAAAGGACGCGUAGGCGGGUUGGCAAGUCAGAUGUGAAAUCCUACUGCUUAACUGUAGAACUGCAUUUGAAACUGCUAACCUAGAGUAUGGGAGGGGGAGAUGGAAUUAGUGGUGUAGGGGUAAAAUCCGUAGAUAUCACUAGGAAUACCGAAAGCGAAGGCGAUCUCCUGGAACAUAACUGACGCUAAGGCGUGAAAGCGUGGGGAGCGAACAGGAUUAGAAACCCUAGUAGUCC